GGUGCAUGAGGCCCCGUUGGGCACAACCUCCGACCAAGCAUCCAAGCCUCACACACCUAGCCCACCUAGGCAGAGAGCCAAAACGGAUUCCCUCUCAAAGCAUCCCCCAAAGAGACAGAAGUGAAGACCCCACAAGAGAUGACUGACUACCCAGAGCUUCUGUCACCUCCCAGAGAGGAAGGAUUUGGACUCGGAGGAGAGACCCCAGGUCCGGGGUACAAAGAUGCAGGCCCUCAGCAAGGCCAGGCAGGUGGGAUGACAAGUGUAACCCCUACCCAGAAUUGCCUCUGGUAUGCACCCUGGCAACCCCAGCAACCUCUCGAGACUUUCUCGCUUUACCGAGCCAGGACACGAUGCUAUAUACUGCCCGUCUGCACCCAGGCUGACAAUGCCAUUAAUUUUGCAUUUUAAUUUUGAGUUUAAGUUAACUUUAUGUUUUAGUUAAUCUUUUAGUUGCCUGCCUCUAUCUAAACACACUCUAUGAUAAAGUGAGGUGUUUCAGGGAUUAAACACGCU
This is a non-coding RNA of Pelobates cultripes (western spadefoot toad), 516 nucleotides long. Lineage: Eukaryota; Metazoa; Chordata; Amphibia; Anura; Pelobatidae. The record is from the annotation of a GenBank genome assembly.